GACGCUUGUAGCUCAGUGGUAGAGCAUCGGUCUCAAAAACCGAAUGGCACGGGUUCAAAUCCCGUCUAGCGCCA
This 74-nucleotide transfer RNA is filed under the name Hoeflea prorocentri. RNAcentral describes it as "tRNA-Leu". It matches the Rfam family "tRNA". From Rfam's summary of the family: Transfer RNA (tRNA) molecules are approximately 80 nucleotides in length. Their secondary structure includes four short double-helical elements and three loops (D, anti-codon, and T loops). Lineage: Bacteria; Pseudomonadati; Pseudomonadota; Alphaproteobacteria; Hyphomicrobiales; Rhizobiaceae. The record is from RNAcentral.